Molecule: long non-coding RNA, 607 nt
Filed under: Oreochromis niloticus (Nile tilapia)
Lineage: Eukaryota; Metazoa; Chordata; Actinopteri; Cichliformes; Cichlidae
Description: lncRNA (ENSONIG00000038352.1)
Source: RNAcentral
CUCAUAUUCACACCUACGGUCAUUUUAGAAUCACCAAUUAACCAAAUUAAUCUUUGGACUGUGGGAGGAGGCUGGAGAGAGAGAACCCAAGCAGACACAGGGAGGAAAUUUAAACACCACACAGAAAGGCUCCAGGCUGGACUCAAACCCAGGACUUUGUUCCUGAUUGAAUUUUGUGAAUGGAAUUAGCCGACAUUACACUGUCCAAAGAAUUUGUGCUUCACUUUUGAUGAGGGCCUGUUUUAGUUUAGUCCCUGGAACUAAUUAGGAGGUAUUUGUGUCUCUGAAACGCGGCCGUGCAGAUUAUGAAUGUAGCUUGAUAACCAGUAUGGAUGACAUCAUGGCGGCUACGUCCAUCUUACACACAGAGUUUGUGGUUUUCAUACUUGAUUUUCCCUUUUGCCCUUUGCCUGCAUUUAUUCUCUCUUCCAUCCUCCUCAUCCCUCCCUUUCUUACUUCCGUGACUCCUGAACAGUCUGAUUGGUGUGACGGAUCACCCAGGCUUUGGCAUGGAUGGAUGCAUGGGUCAAUAUCUAUCUAAAGAGGAUUGGAGCUCAAAUGAAGGCUAGGCUACCUGAGAAAGCAGCCAACGGAGAAGAUGCUCAAA